Molecule: ribosomal RNA, 1514 nt
Filed under: Trichoglossum octopartitum
Lineage: Eukaryota; Fungi; Ascomycota; Geoglossomycetes; Geoglossales; Geoglossaceae
Description: eukaryotic LSU rRNA
Rfam family: Eukaryotic large subunit ribosomal RNA
Source: RNAcentral
CGCUGAACUUAAGCAUAUCAAUAAGCGGAGGAAAAGAAACCAACAGGGAUUGCCUCAGUAACGGCGAGUGAAGCGGCAACAGCUCAAAUUUGAAAUCUGGUCCCUUUCGGGGCUCGAGUUGUAAUUUGUAGAGGAAGUCUUCGGGUUUGGCCCUGGCCUAAGUUCCUUGGAACAGGACGUCACAGAGGGUGAGAAUCCCGUAUGUGGCUGGUGGUCUAUGUCCAUGUGAAGCUCCUUCGACGAGUCGAGUUGUUUGGGAAUGCAGCUCAAAAUGGGUGGUAAGUUUCAUCUAAAGCUAAAUACCGGCGGGAGACCGAUAGCGCACAAGUAGAGUGAUCGAAAGAUGAAAAGCACUUUGGAAAGAGAGUUAAAAAGUACGUGAAAUUGUUGAAAGGGAAGCGCUUGCGACCAGACUUGCCCUCGGUUGAUCAACCUGGUGUUCUUCACCGGUGCACUCUGCUGAGGUCAGGCCAGCAUCCGUUUGGGCGGUUGGAGAAAGGCCGUGGGAAUGUGACUUCCUUCGGGGAGUGUUAUAGCCCUCGGUGUCAUGCGACCAGCCUGACUGAGGACCGCGCCUUUGGUGGCUAGGAUGCUGGCAUAAUGGUCGUAAGCGACCCGUCUUGAAACACGGACUAAGGAGUCUAACAUCUAUUGCGAGUGUUUGGGUGUCAACCCACACGCGUAAUGAAAGUGAAUGGAGGUGGGAACCCUCAAGGGGUGCACCAUCGACUGAUCCUGAUGUCUUCGGAUGGAUUUGAGUAAGAGCAUACCUUUGGGACCCGAAAGAUGGUGAACUAUGCCUGAAUAGGGUGAAGCCAGAGGAAACUCUGGUGGAGGCUCGCAGCGGUUCUGACGUGCAAAUCGAUCGUCAAAUUUGGGUAUAGGGGCGAAAGACUAAUCGAACCAUUGUUGAGAAGCACAUUAGAUAUUCUCGCUGGAUGGAAGUUUGGGAACACACACAUAUACGCACCGCACGCACAAAAGCUUGUUGCUUCACGUUAGAUUUUGGGGUGGGUGGUGUUUUUUCUGAACUUGCUACACGAGUGUAUAUCUCUGCUAUUAGGUGGUUAAGAGGCGGAUAAAAGGUCCGUCUAGUCCUUGUUCACAGGGCGACACUGUCAAAUUGCGGGGACACCCUUAGAGCUCAAACAACCGCAGCCUAACUGAAAGGUAGGUGCGCACCAGGGUAAUGACCUCGGGGAUGGUAAUAUUGUUUGAGAUUGGGCAAUCCGCAGCAAAGUCCUACAGGCCUUAUUUGAAUGGCCCAAGGAUGAAGUUCACAGACUAGAUGGCAGUGGGUAAGAGGACAAUUGCGUAGUGUCCCUUGCUUAAGGUAUAGUCGAGCCACCGGGAGACCGGGCGGUUGGGAUGAAGCACUUUAGGGGUGAGCUCUGCACCUAGCUGCAGGUCCUUCUGUGCCCGAGCCCACCGGAGAGCAUUAGCUCUUGGGUAUAUAUAAUGCUAGUAGCUGGUUCCUGCCGAAGUUUCCCUCAGGAUAGCAGUAACGUAUUCAG